GACGAACGCUGGCGGCGUGCCUAACACAUGCAAGUCGAACGGAAAGGCCCUGCUUUUGUGCGGUGCUCGAGUGGCGAACGGGUGAGUAACACGUGAGUAACCUCUCCUUUACUUUGGGAUAACUUCAGGAAACUGGGGCUAAUACCGGAUAGGAGUUCUUGCUGCAUGGUGUGGGUUGGUUAGUUUCGGCGGUUGGAGAUGUAAUCGCGGCUUAUCCGCUUGUUGGUGUGGUAGUAGCUUACAAAGGCUUUGAAGGGUAGCAGACAUGAGAGGCUGACCGGCCACAAUAGGACUGAGGGACGGACCAGACGGCAAUGGGAGGCAAGGGUGGGAAAUAUGACAGAAUAAGCGGAAGCGAGAUGCAGAAACGCAGCGAGCGGGAUGACGGGCUUCGGGUUGUAAACAGAUUUCGCAUGAGACGAAGAGUGAGUGACGGUAAUGGGUAAAGAAGCACCGGCUAACUACGUG
This 468-nucleotide ribosomal RNA is filed under the name uncultured bacterium. RNAcentral describes it as "partial 16S ribosomal RNA". It matches the Rfam family "Bacterial small subunit ribosomal RNA", at positions 28 to 507 of the family's 1533-position model. The record is from RNAcentral.